AUGGAUCCUAAUCAUUUUCAUUAUCAACAAGCUAUGUUCAAUUACAUGUCAAAUUAUCAAAAUCCUAAUCCUCAAACUUCUCAAUUUCCAUCUGUGCCAACAAACCCCGCCAUAUUUUUUCCGGAAACACCGAUUGGUUUAUGUCUGGAUGUCAAGUUCCACCAGUUUCUACUCAAGUUGGUACUGAAAAAGAAGAAAGGGUUGUCGUUAAAAAAAAAUCUCAAGAGCAAUUUACAAGGGAUGAAGAUAUACUGCUUAUCCAAUCAUGGCUCAAUGUUUCAAAGGAUCCAAUUGUGGGAGUUGAUCAAAAAGCUGAGAGUUUUUGGUUAA
Molecule: long non-coding RNA, 330 nt
Filed under: Vicia faba (fava bean)
Lineage: Eukaryota; Viridiplantae; Streptophyta; Magnoliopsida; Fabales; Fabaceae
Source: RNAcentral